GAAUGAUGAAAAAAAUUUCUGAAUAUUUCAUGGCCUACGAAGGCCCAAAGGUGUUUACUAUCCGGAAAAUGAAGACGCAAUUUACAAACAAAAAUACGCAUAUUUUACGAACUGACGUAUUACAGAAGCAUGUAGUGCCGUAAGAAUCUCUUUUUGAUUGGGGGGUUGAGAACGAGGGCCAAAGGCCCGAAGAAUUUAGAGUCUCUGAAAUGCCAUUUCCUGGACUGUGG
Non-coding RNA from Paramuricea clavata, 230 nucleotides. The record is from the annotation of a GenBank genome assembly. Lineage: Eukaryota; Metazoa; Cnidaria; Anthozoa; Malacalcyonacea; Plexauridae.